AAAAAGAUAAGCUAAUCAAGCUAUCGGGUUCAUACCUCGUCCAUAGGGGUAAUAAUCCCCUUCUUUUUA
RNAcentral lists this transfer RNA (69 nucleotides) under Smaragdina concolor. RNAcentral's name for it is "tRNA-Met". Lineage: Eukaryota; Metazoa; Arthropoda; Insecta; Coleoptera; Chrysomelidae. The record is from RNAcentral.